Molecule: ribosomal RNA, 301 nt
Filed under: uncultured bacterium
Lineage: Bacteria
Description: partial 16S ribosomal RNA
Rfam family: Bacterial small subunit ribosomal RNA
Source: RNAcentral
CAGUAGCCGCGGGAAUACGUAGGGUGCGAGCGUUAAUCGGAAUUACUGGGCGUAAAGCGUGCGCAGGCGGUUUGUUAAGACAGAUGUGAAAUCCCCGGGCUUAACCUGGGAACUGCGUUUGUGACUGGCCGGCUAGAGUAUGGCAGAGGGAGGUGGAAUUCCACGUGUAGCAGUGAAAUGCGUAGAUAUGUGGAGGAACACCGAUGGCGAAGGCAGCCUCCUGGGCCAAUACUGACGCUCAUGCACGAAAGCGUGGGGAGCAAACAGGAUUAGAUACCCCAGUAGUCCCUGUCUCUUAUAA